UGCUCAACAGCUAGCCCACCCCAAAACUUCAACAAGUCAAUCUAAAUACCCCCAAAGCACACUAAUUUUAAGUAAACAAACCAUUUUUCCCCCUUAGUAUAGGCGAUAGAAAAGGAUAUUAGGCGCAAUAGAGAAAGUACCGCAAGGGAAUGCUGAAAGAGAAAUGAAAUAACCCAGAAAAGCUAAGAAAAGCAGAGAUUUAACCUCGUACCUUUUGCAUCAUGAUUUAGCAAGUGUAACUUAAGCAAAGAGAACUAUAGUUUAAUACCCCGAAACUACGUGAGCUACUCCAAGACAGCCUAUUAUAGGGCAUACCCGUCUCUGUUGCAAAAGAGUGGGGAGAGCUUUGAGUAGAGGUGACAGACCUACCGAACCUAGUUAUAGCUGGUUGCCCAAGAAAUGAAUAGAAGUUCAGCUUCCUGGCUUCUCUUUUCACAUUAGCUUUACACCUACUGAUGUAUUUAAGAAACCAAGAAAGUUAGUCGAAGGGGGUACAGCCCCUUUGAAUCAAGACACAACUUUAACAGGAGGGUAAAGAUCAUA
RNAcentral lists this ribosomal RNA (543 nucleotides) under Apeltes quadracus (fourspine stickleback). RNAcentral describes it as "partial 16S large subunit ribosomal RNA". The stretch from base 188 to 543 matches the Rfam family "Bacterial large subunit ribosomal RNA", at positions 566 to 1050 of the family's 2925-position model. Lineage: Eukaryota; Metazoa; Chordata; Actinopteri; Perciformes; Gasterosteidae. The record is from RNAcentral.